GGGGUUUUAAGUUAUCAGAAACUGUAGGCCUUCAAAGCCUGAAAAGGAUGGAAUCCAGGCCCCU
RNAcentral lists this transfer RNA (64 nucleotides) under Lyonsia norwegica. Its description in RNAcentral is "tRNA-Trp". Lineage: Eukaryota; Metazoa; Mollusca; Bivalvia; Lyonsiidae. The record is from RNAcentral.